This 500-nucleotide ribosomal RNA is filed under the name uncultured bacterium. RNAcentral's name for it is "bacterial SSU rRNA". It matches the Rfam family "Bacterial small subunit ribosomal RNA", at positions 28 to 521 of the family's 1533-position model. The record is from RNAcentral.
GAUGAACGCUAGCGAUAGGCCUAACACAUGCAAGUCGAGGGGCAGCACAUGAGUAGCAAUACGAUGGUGGCGACCGGCGCACGGGUGAGUAACACGUAUGCAACCUACCUUUAACAGGGGGAUAACCCGUUGAAAGACGGACUAAUACUCCAUGACACAGGGGUCCCGCAUGGGAAUAUUUGUUAAAGAUUUAUCGGUUGAAGAUGGGCAUGCGUUCCAUUAGCUAGUUGGUGAGGUAACGGCCCACCAAGGCAACGAUGGAUAGGGGAACUGAGAGGUUUAUCCCCCACACUGGAACUGAGACACGGUCCAGACUCCUACGGGAGGCAGCAGUGAGGAAUAUUGGUCAAUGGAGGCAACUCUGAACCAGCCAAGUCGCGUGAAGGAUGAAGGUCUUAUGGAUUGUAAACUUCUUUUCAAGGGAAUAAAGUGGGGACGUGUCCUCCUUUGCAUGUACCUUGCGAAUAAGGAUCGGCUAACUCCGUGCCAGCAGCCGCGGU